CAGACUCCUACGGGAGGCAGCAGUGAGGAAUAUUGGUCAAUGGCCGAGAGGCUGAACCAGCCAAGUCGCGUGAGGGAAGAAUGUCCUAAGGAUUGUAAACCUCUUUUGUCGGGGAGCAAAAAGGCUCUGCGGAGUCGUAUUGAGAGUACCCGAAGAAAAAGCAUCGGCUAACUCCGUGCCAGCAGCCGCGGUAAUACGUAGGGUGCGAGCGUUAAUCGGAAUUACUGGGCGUAAAGGGUGUGCAGGCGGCUGAGUAAGACAGAUGUGAAAUCCCCGGGCUUAACCUGGGAACCGCAUAUGUGACUGCUUGGCUAGAGUGCGUCAGAGGGAGGUGGAAUUCCACGUGUAGCAGUGAAAUGCGUAGAUAUGUGGAAGAACACCGAUGGCGAAGGCAGCCUCCUGGGACGCAACUGACGCUCAUACACGAAAGCGUGGGGAGCAAACAGGAUUAGAUACCCUCGUAC
Molecule: ribosomal RNA, 464 nt
Filed under: uncultured bacterium
Lineage: Bacteria
Description: bacterial SSU rRNA
Rfam family: Bacterial small subunit ribosomal RNA
Source: RNAcentral